UACGUAGGGUGCAAGCGUUAAUCGGAAUUACUGGGCGUAAAGCGUGCGCAGGCGGCUUUGCAAGACAGAUGUGAAAUCCCCGGGCUUAACCUGGGAACUGCGUUUGUGACUGCAAGGCUAGAGUACGGUAGAGGGGGAUGGAAUUCCGCGUGUAGCAGUGAAAUGCGUAGAUAUGCGGAGGAACACCGAUGGCGAAGGCAAUCCCCUGGACCUGUACUGACGCUCAUGCACGAAAGCGUGGGGAGCAAACAGG
RNAcentral lists this ribosomal RNA (253 nucleotides) under uncultured bacterium. Its description in RNAcentral is "partial 16S ribosomal RNA". It matches the Rfam family "Bacterial small subunit ribosomal RNA", at positions 524 to 776 of the family's 1533-position model. The record is from RNAcentral.